UACACUCCUGCGGGAGGCAGCAGUGGGGAAUAUUGCACAAUGGGCGCAAGCCUGAUGCAGCGACGCCGCGUGGGGGAUGAAGGCCUUCGGGUUGUAAACUCCUUUCGCUAGGGACGAAGCUUUUUUGUGACGGUACCUAGAUAAGAAGCACCGGCUAACUACGUGCCAGCAGCCGCGGUAAUACGUAGGGUGCGAGCGUUGUCCGGAAUUACUGGGCGUAAAGGGCUCGUAGGUGGUUUGUCGCGUCGUCUGUGAAAUUCUGGGGCUUAACUCCGGGCGUGCAGGCGAUACGGGCAUAACUUGAGUGCUGUAGGGGUAACUGGAAUUCCUGGUGUAGCGGUGAAAUGCGCAGAUAUCAGGAGGAACACCGAUGGCGAAGGCAGGUUACUGGGCAGUUACUGACGCUGAGGAGCGAAAGCAUGGGUAGCGAACAGGAUUAGAUACCCGAGUAGUCCCAUGAU
This 461-nucleotide ribosomal RNA is filed under the name uncultured organism. RNAcentral's name for it is "partial 16S ribosomal RNA". It matches the Rfam family "Bacterial small subunit ribosomal RNA", at positions 332 to 801 of the family's 1533-position model. The record is from RNAcentral.